AUUGCGACCCGGCUUGAGCGGAACUCCUUUUGUUGCUGGAAAAGCUUGGGCAAAAGAGUGGGAGCGGAAGACGGAAAUUGUC
RNAcentral lists this unclassified non-coding RNA (82 nucleotides) under Chryseobacterium taihuense. RNAcentral's name for it is "Flavo-1 RNA". The record is from RNAcentral. Lineage: Bacteria; Pseudomonadati; Bacteroidota; Flavobacteriia; Flavobacteriales; Weeksellaceae.